GUUUGAUCCUGGCUCAGGACGAACGCUGGCGGCACGCCUAACACAUGCAAGUCGAACGGAGAAAAUGAUUUCGGUUAUUUUCUUAGUGGCGGACGGGUGAGUAACACGUGAGGAACCUGCCUCUGAGAGUGGGAUAGCUUCUGGAAACGGAUGGUAAUACCGCAUAACAUAGCGAAACCGCAUGAUUUUGCUAUCAAAGUAUUUCGCUCAGAGAUGGCCUCGCGUCUGAUUAGAUAGUUGGUGAGGUAACGGCCCACCAAGGCAACGAUCGGUAGCCGGACUGAGAGGUUGAACGGCCACAUUGGGACUGAGACACGGCCCAGACUCCUACGGGAGGCAGCAGUGGGGAAUAUUGCACAAUGGGGGAAACCCUGAUGCAGCGACGCCGCGUGGAGGAAGAAGGUCUUCGGAUUGUAAACUCCUGUUGUUGAGGAAGAUAAUGACGGUACUCAACAAGGAAGUGACGGCUAACUACGUGCCAGCAGCCGCGGUAAAACGUAGGUCACAAGCGUUGUCCGGAAUUACUGGGUGUAAAGGGAGCGCAGGCGGGAAGACAAGUUGGAAGUGAAAUCCAUGGGCUCAACCCAUGAACUGCUUCAAAACU
RNAcentral lists this ribosomal RNA (604 nucleotides) under uncultured bacterium. Its description in RNAcentral is "bacterial SSU rRNA". It matches the Rfam family "Bacterial small subunit ribosomal RNA", at positions 11 to 634 of the family's 1533-position model. The record is from RNAcentral.